GCAGGGCUUCGCCUAAGCACUACAACAACUAGAUGACAACCCGCGCAUUGCUGCGGGACUCAUUUGCAGACACCCUAAAACUAUAGUGAAGAAAUAUAUGUGGUCAUAUAUUGUAAACAGAUAAAUUGGUAGACAAAUUGAUGGAGUACACUUGUGAUGAUAACCGACAACACCAAGGUAUUAGUUAGAAAAUUUAGCACAUAUACCGACGGAUAAAAAAACUCUAUGCAAUGACAUAAUAUGAAUGUUUAUGAAGACACUAAGAAAAUGAUCCAGGAUAUGCCGUGUCAUCCUUGUGUCAUGUCAAGCAUUUGUAGAUGGGCCUUUUCCUUGAUAUAACUGCCAGGGAAAAAAUUAAGAAGGUACGUACAAUUAGUAAAAUGAAAUGUCCCAUAUAUAUAUAUGCAAUUAUGAUGUUGUGUUUCUCUUUCGUCUUACUCAUCAUUUCACUUUGUAUAGUAAAAUCUAAGUUAAAUAUAGUAAAUAUAAAUCACCUGAUGAAACUUGAUGGCGAUCAAGAUGAAAUUUACUGUCACAACAACAACUAUAUCAUGGUCUAUUUAUAAAAGCCAUGCCUGACGGGCUGAUAGCAAAUAAAUGUAGUAUAUUUAGUGUGAUGUUUUGAUGUUUCUCAGACCUAAAGAAGAGAGAAAUUGAGUUUAAGAAAAGAGCAGAAACCUUCUAUUUGGACGUCAACGGUGACUAUCAUUGACAUCAGUUAAAUUUAGUGAUAGCACCUGAAGUUGAACUUCAGAACACAAAAAAUAUCUGAGCUGCAAACGCAAUGGUAAGAAUCAGAAAGAAUUGUUGGUUGCAAAGAAAAAUAUCAAUUGGUAUAAAUAUAUAGAUGUAGGAUAAAUAUACGAUUUGAUCCAAAACUGCAUCAACAUAGGCAGACAUAUAACUCGAAAAUCAGCAUACAUAUUAUCUCAAUUUGUCAUGCAGAAACAUACCACUUCAUAAUCAUAAGAAAAGAGAGGCAGAUAGUCCAACAAAGCAUAUCAGGCACCAGAUUCAACAUUUAUGUCACUCAUUUCCUUGGACAGAUAGUGGCAGAUGCGCAACCUGUAUAAGUGGUUGAGGAGAUAAGAUAUCUUGUUGAUGUAGAUAAGAAAAUUCUGCAGAAACAAAUGGAGCUGCAAACUGUUUGGACUUUGAUAAGAUAAUACCACGGUGACAUGGAUUAGAAAUUCAUGCAGAACCAAACAUGAGAAGGUAGAAGAUUAAAGUUGGUUGACUACUACAACAUGGCAGGUUGUAGUACCUGCUUCAUAAACAAAAAAGAAUAUAUUUAACCUUCUAAUGGAAGUACAUACUAAAACUUCACCCAACAAAAGCAUCAGGAGGCCGUGGACAUUCAACAAAUAUUGGGAGGCGGUAGAGACUAGGGAGUAGUUAGAUAGAGGAAGAUGAUACCUGUGAGGAGGAUAGAGUUGUACUUCCAAGCGAGGAAAGAGACAUGAGCUUGAGUGACAGAUGCGAAGACAUGCAUGGGCGCAUGAUUGCAUGACCACCAGGAGAUGAACCGCAGAAUCGGCGGAUGACAGAUGCACAUUACGAUGCCAAGUUGGAUAAAAGCACUAAGCAUCUGGCGAUUAGGCACAACCUCGCCGAUGAUCUAGAUAUACAAGGACCAUGGAAAGGAGGGGAUUGAAAAGAGGUGUUGACAUUGUUGGGAAGGAGAAGUGGAAGGGAUGGUACCAAUUGUAGCAGAAGGGACUGAGGAACGUG
RNAcentral lists this long non-coding RNA (1731 nucleotides) under Triticum aestivum (bread wheat). RNAcentral's name for it is "long non-coding RNA (TAES_LNC005534)". The record is from RNAcentral. Lineage: Eukaryota; Viridiplantae; Streptophyta; Magnoliopsida; Poales; Poaceae.